CCUUUAAUUUUCCCAAAAAUCGUCAGUGUGCCUUUAAAUCCAGUGCACCUUAUGUAUGAAUUUUGCCAGUCAGGUUGUAAGGAGCAGUAAAGCCACUCCACUGAAGCGCAGCAUCAUACAAGAGUUCUAGUUUAGUUCUCAAGCAGCUGGAGUAGCAUUAGCAUUAGCGGCUAACUGCACUAAUCACUAGCUCUUUCUUUGUUCAGAGGGAGGCUCGCUGAGGAGACUUGGUGGAGCCCACAACUCAGGGGUCAAGUCCAGGCUUUCCCAACAUCUCUACCCCCACUAUCGUCCAUCCCUGCUCUCUCCUCCUCUCUGGAGAAAUGGACAGAGUGCAGGAGAGGGACGUGAGAAGUAUGUGAGGACAGAGAGAGAGAGAAAGAGAGAAAAACAAGAGAAUGAGGGUUCUGUUUUGUGUCGGCCAGGCAACAGAUCAGAAACACGUAGGAACAUCUCUCGAAGUGUCAAGGCUCCGCCGCUCCUGAUUGGCCCAGGCCAGAGCCGCCGCUGCCCUCCAUUGGCUGGGCCGAGGACGAAUGCGCCUGCUGACAGUCAAUGGGGGCACACGGGGACAGACAUCUUUGCCUACCAUUUUUUCCAAAGCAAAGCUGAAUGACACUGGAAAAAGUUGGAGGUGUUUAAAGUCAUAAACUGAAAAGGAGAACAAAAACCCACAGAGUUCCUCAGAGUUCCACAGAGUUCCACAGCCACCCUGCAGCAGUGUGCAGUAAAGGGCAGAGCAGACCAGAGGAGUUCCACAGGGUAAUAGAGUUUGGAUGAGGAAGGUUAAGGGGCCAAAGGUCAAACUGUGCCCUAUGCAAAGCCUUGUGCCCCCACUUCAUCUACCGCUUCAACAGCAGCGCUGAAAAUACCAAAUGAUGGAUGCCAACCCCUCUCUCCCUCUCUCUGCGUCUCUCGUCAUCAGACCAUCUCUCUGUGUCUCUAUUAACCCAAAUGAUGAUUCAUUCGGGCAGCAGGCCGUCCCCGGGCUCAUUCAUUCAUGUAAUUUAUGUGUGUUACGGGGUAUUUAUGGGUACUGGUGGAGACAGAGCUAAGUUUAGAGCUCCUCCUGCUUUACCUUCCUUUUAUCCUCAAUCAGUGCAGAAAAACAGAAUACGUUCAGCUUUGUUUCUCUGUUACUGCUGUACAUACUUACUGUUCAUUCAGAUUUAUUUUGUUAUUUAUUAUAGUCUAAAAUUCAUAUUUUUAAGAGUUUAUUUGCAAUAACAGAUAAGUACUAUCCAUUUUAUAUCUUUCUCAUUUUUUAAAUUCAUGCAAUAAAUAACUGUUAACGAAGUUCUGUUCUGCAAGUUGCCAUAAAGCACAACUUUAUGCUGGUUUAUCACUGCAAUGCAGUAACUUUAUAGCACACAUGCUGCCAGAAGUUUGCUUUUCUAUUACAGUUAAUUUUGUUUUUAUUAUCUUUGGUUAGCUAAAAUUUUAAAUAGAUGUAUAUGUAAUAAUUAUAGACCCCAAACAUUUCAAUUACAUAACCUUAUUGUAAAAAUAAUUACAGAAUUAUUUUUAUAAAUUACUCUAAAAAAAGCUGUCAUACUCUGUAAUUAUUUUACAGUAAAUUGAGGUAAUCUUUCUCCACAGUGAACUACUGUAAUUUAAAGUGCAUUCAGUUUUGUAACUGUUUUGUAACCAAUUUUGUCAUGGUGUGCAGAGAGAGGAUGCAGAGAUUGGACAAAAAAUACAAGUAUAUAUAUUUAAUGAAAACAGGACUAACUAACAAAAACAUAGAAGGAGCAACCUAACUUACGUAAAAAAUUACAAGAACCAACAAGGGAGCACAGAAACAAAGGGGCUAUAUAUACUGAAGUAGGCAAGAAACACCUGGGGACAGUUAAUGAGGGGGCGGAGUUAUAAAUGUACAACAGGUGGGAGCACUGAAAUCAAGGACAACACAGAGCUACAUGCAAGAAAGCACAUGGCUAGGGAAACAGACAGGCACAGAAAAAGAUAAAAACACAGAGAUAGACCAGGAAAGACACGGAACAGGACGAAAACAUGAUAGGAACCUUUUUAUAGCGCAGUAUUAGAAAAAUAUAUUGGUUACAAUAUAAAUAUCCAGUAUAAAUUAUUGAGAAUUUCAAUUUCAAGAAGGCAAAUUAUUAUGUGUCUAGUUUAAAAUAUCUGCAUUAAUGUAUUAAAUGUAUAUAUUUUUUUUAAACGCUAGUGUAUGUGGUCAGGUGAUGUUAAUCAUUAAAAAGUAUUG
Astyanax mexicanus (Mexican tetra) is the source of this 2221-nucleotide long non-coding RNA. RefSeq lists it as uncharacterized. The record is from RefSeq and is a predicted model, not a curated record. NCBI's taxonomy places the organism in Eukaryota, Metazoa, Chordata, Actinopteri, Characiformes, Acestrorhamphidae. The transcript has 4 exons.